Equus caballus (horse) is the source of this 1179-nucleotide non-coding RNA. Lineage: Eukaryota; Metazoa; Chordata; Mammalia; Perissodactyla; Equidae. The record is from RefSeq and is a predicted model, not a curated record.
AAAUUAAUAAUAGGUAUCUGAAAAAUUGCCAAAUAUUUUGAAGUCAAGCAACAUGCUUAUAAAAAACCUGUAGGUCAAAGAAGAAGUGACGUUGGAAAUGAGAAACUCUUUUGAACUGAGAGAUGAUUUUAAAGCCACAUAUCAAAACUGAUAGGAUGAGGCUGAGGAAGAUCUUAGAGGAACGGUUCUGUCUCUAAAUGCCUAUAUUAGAAAAGAAGAGAGGAAUUAGAUCAAUAUUUGGAGCUCCCACUUUGAGAAGAUGGGAAAGUAAAGUGACGUAUGCCAAAGUAGGCAGGAGGAAGUACACAGUAAAGCAAAACACUGGAACACAGAAAGUGGAAAACACAGAAUCAAUCAAGAGAAUCAACAGAAGCAGAAGGCAGUUCUGCAAAAAGAUUGAUAAACUUGACCUACCUCUAGCAACACUCAUUAAAGGCAAGAAAGAGAGGGAGGGAAAGAGAGAGGAAUUAACAGUCUCAGGAAAUAAAGACAGGAUAUCACAGCCCUCAAACCAAGAGGAUUAUUCUGAGGCUUUGAAACCUAAGUGAGGAACUCCUGCUAGUGUUUGCCCACCUUGAUUUUCAAACUCUUUGGGGUCAAUGACUCAUUUUUACCUUCUUUUUUCUCCUUUUUUGAACUGGAAUGUCUCUAAUUUUUAUCCAAUGCCUGUCCCACCAAUUGUCUAUUGAGAACAGAUCUCAAGACGGAGAGGAAUUGUGCCCAGGAGCUGUACCUGAUAGAUUCUAUUCCAGGAGCCUCAGCAGCCCUGAUGUGGACAUUGAACUGAUGCUGUCAUGGGAUGAGGCUUUAGGAACCUUAAGAAGGAGAAGACAAAGCCAGAGACAUUCGCAGCAUGAGAAGGACUCGAUGCCACAUUACAGCAUAGAGGAUCUGAGGAAGGAGAAAGCCACCUGAGAAAGAAUGCAGACAGUCUGUAGAAGCAGAGAAUGGCUCCUGAAUGACAAUCAGCAAGGAAACAGGGACCUCAGUCCUUCAACUGCAAGGCACUGAAUUAUGCCAAUGCAGGAAUGACCUUGGAAAGGGACGCUGAGUCUGGGUGAGAAUGUAGGCAGCCAUCCUCCUUGAUUUCAGCCCUGAAACCCUCAGCAGAGAACCCAGGCACAUCAUCCCAGAUUCUGACCUACAGAGUCCACGAUAAUAAAUGGGCAUUGUUUUAAA